CAGGACGAACGCUGGCGGCGUGCCUAACACAUGCAAGUCGAGCGGGAUGUCUGGAAGCUUGCUUCCGGACAUCUAGCGGCGGACGGGUGAGUAACGCGUGAGCAACCUGCCUUUAACAGGGGGAUAACGCAUCGAAAGAUGUGCUAAUACCGCAUAAGACCACGGUUUCACAUGGGACAGGGGUCAAAGGAGCAAUCCGGUUAAAGAUGGGCUCGCGUCCGAUUAGCUAGUUGGUGAGAUAACAGCCCACCAAGGCGACGAUCGGUAGCCGACCUGAGAGGGUGAUCGGCCACAUUGGAACUGAGAUACGGUCCAGACUCCUACGGGAGGCAGCAGUGGGGAAUAUUGGGCAAUGGGCGAAAAAGCCUGACCCAGCAACGCCGCGUGAGGGAAGAAGGGUUUCGGCUCGUAAACCUCUGUCCUGUGGGACGAAGGAAGUGACGGUACCACAGGAGGAAGCCCCGGCUAACUACGUGCCAGCAGCCGC
Molecule: ribosomal RNA, 487 nt
Filed under: uncultured bacterium
Lineage: Bacteria
Description: bacterial SSU rRNA
Rfam family: Bacterial small subunit ribosomal RNA
Source: RNAcentral